RNAcentral lists this ribosomal RNA (658 nucleotides) under Chaetothyriales sp. A548. RNAcentral's name for it is "SSU rRNA". It matches the Rfam family "Bacterial small subunit ribosomal RNA", at positions 360 to 1105 of the family's 1533-position model. Lineage: Eukaryota; Fungi; Ascomycota; Eurotiomycetes; Chaetothyriales. The record is from RNAcentral.
AAUAUUGGUCAAUAGCCUAACGGCUGAACCAGCAACUUGGAAGAAUGUAUAACGAAUAAGUCGUAUAAAAUUCUAGGUAGAAGAAUGAUAGUGACAAUUUUCUAUCUAUAAGUCUUGACCAAAUUACGUGCCAGCAGUCGCGGUAACACGUAGAAGACUAGUGUUAUUCAUCUUUAUUAGGUUUAAAGGGUACCUAGACGGAAAAUCAAGCCAUAAUAGGGACUAAUUUUCUAGAGUUUUAUGAGAGAAGGGGUGAAUUUCCGGAGGAAAGUUGAUAUUUAGUGAUACUGGAAGGACGGGUAACGGCGAAGGCAACCUUGUAUGUAAAAACUGACGUUGAGGGACGAAGCCUUGGGUAACGAGAAGGAUUAGAUACCCUAGUAGUCCUUGGAGACAAUUAUGAAUGUCAUAGGCUAGAUAAUUUAGCCUAUAAAUGAAAGUGUAAGCAUUCCACCUCAUGAGUAAAGCGGCAACGCCCAAAUUGAAAUCAUUAGACCGUUUCUGAAACCAGUAGUGAAGUAUGUUAUUUAAUUCGAUGAUCCGCGAAUAACCUUACCACAAUAUGCAUUGAAUAUUAUUCAAUUAUUACAAGCGCUGCACGGCUGUCUUCAGUUAAUGUCGUGAGAUUUUGGUUCGUUCCUUUAAUUAACGAAAACCC